RNAcentral lists this ribosomal RNA (709 nucleotides) under bacterium. RNAcentral's name for it is "bacterial SSU rRNA". It matches the Rfam family "Bacterial small subunit ribosomal RNA", at positions 63 to 780 of the family's 1533-position model. The record is from RNAcentral.
CGUAACGGUGACCUCGAGAGCUUGCUCUUGGGUGAACAGUGGCGAACGGGUGAGUAACACGUGAGUAACCUGCCCCUGACUCUGGAAUAAGCGCUGGAAACGGCGUCUAAUACCGGAUAUGACACACCCUCGCAUGGGGAGUGUGUGGAAAGUUUUUCGGUCUGGGAUGGACUCGCGGCCUAUCAGCUUGUUGGUGAGGUAAUGGCUCACCAAGGCGAUGACGGGUAGCCGGCCUGAGAGGGCGACCGGCCACACUGGGACUGAGACACGGCCCAGACUCCUACGGGAGGCAGCAGUGGGGAAUAUUGCACAAUGGGCGAAAGCCUGAUGCAGCGACGCCGCGUGAGGGAUGACGGCCUUCGGGUUGUAAACCUCUUUCAGCAGGGAAGAAGCGCAAGUGACGGUACCUGCAGAAGAAGCACCGGCUAACUACGUGCCAGCAGCCGCGGUAAUACGUAGGGUGCGAGCGUUGUCCGGAAUUAUUGGGCGUAAAGAGCUUGUAGGCGGUUUGUCGCGUCUGCUGUGAAAAUCCGGGGCUCAACCCCGGACUUGCAGUGGGUACGGGCAGACUAGAGUGUGGUAGGGGAGACUGGAAUUCCUGGUGUAGCGGUGAAAUGCGCAGAUAUCAGGAGGAACACCGAUGGCGAAGGCAGGUCUCUGGGCCACUACUGACGCUCAGAAGCGAAAGCAUGGGGAGCGAACAGGAUAA